GUCCUUCAGGACGCGCGCUCAAGUCCUGAAGCAACGCACGCCAUUGCAGGGGUUCAGCAGCAUUAAGAUCCACAAUAUGAACCAUCUUUUCACCUUCCAUAGCUUCAAUUAUAGCUUGAUUUGUGACCACAAACGCCACCUUCAAGAAAGGAAAGAUCUCGAAAAACAUCUUCCUAACAAGAAUUUCUUCUGAGACAACCGAUAACUUAGUCGAACGCAACGCCUUAUAAAGACCAGGCCAACUCCUUAGAAUCCUAUCAGCUAAAGCCUCAGUAAAAUAUGAAGCAAUCCUUUGCAUGGUAUCUCCACUAGGAGAUGCAAGUUGGGAAAUAUGGUCAAGUGCUAUAUUAGCAUUCUCAAGGCUACCAGAAGCAACAUGAUUAGCACAAGCAAGCAAAAGAUGUAUCAAAUACAACCCUCUUUCUUCAGAUUUCAGCUCCUUAAGCCACUGAUUUGAUGAACCAAA
This 466-nucleotide unclassified non-coding RNA is filed under the name Hevea brasiliensis (rubber tree). Lineage: Eukaryota; Viridiplantae; Streptophyta; Magnoliopsida; Malpighiales; Euphorbiaceae. The record is from RNAcentral.